UUGUUCUCCAAGACGGACGGAGCUUUCGAGUUUCGUGCUUCGGCACGUCUCUCGGAGAGCCAAGACAAAUCCAAGUCAAAAACCAAACAAAUCAAACUAUGGUUAACAGAAACAACAUGACAUGCAGCUGCAGCCACUGUGCAUCCAUCGGUGUUUGUGGAAGAUUCCCUAAAAGUGCGGAGUC
This 184-nucleotide non-coding RNA is filed under the name Caenorhabditis elegans. RNAcentral's name for it is "C. elegans sRNA ceN115". It matches the Rfam family "C. elegans sRNA ceN115", at positions 1 to 103 of the family's 159-position model. The record is from Rfam by way of RNAcentral. Lineage: Eukaryota; Metazoa; Nematoda; Chromadorea; Rhabditida; Rhabditidae.